AGUGAACGCUGGCGGUAGGCCUAACACAUGCAAGUCGAACGGCAGCACAGUAAGAGCUUGCUCUUGCGGGUGGCGAGUGGCGGACGGGUGAGGAAUACAUCGGAAUCUACUUUUUCGUGGGGGAUAACGUAGGGAAACUUACGCUAAUACAGCAUACGACCUACGGGUGAAAGCAGGGGAUCUUCGGACCUUGCGCGAUUGAAUGAGCCGAUGUCGGAUUAGCUAGUUGGCGGGGUAAAGGCCCACCAAGGCGACGAUCCGUAGCUGGUCUGAGAGGAUGAUCAGCCACACUGGAACUGAGACACGGUCCAGACUCCUACGGGAGGCAGCAGUGGGGAAUAUUGGACAAUGGGCGCAAGCCUGAUCCAGCCAUACCGCGUGGGUGAAGAAGGCCUUCGGGUUGUAAAGCCCUUUUGUUGGGAAAGAAAAGCAGCAGGUUAAUACCCCGCUGUUCUGACGGUACCCAAAGAAUAAGCACCGGCUAACUUCGUG
RNAcentral lists this ribosomal RNA (492 nucleotides) under uncultured bacterium. RNAcentral's name for it is "partial 16S ribosomal RNA". It matches the Rfam family "Bacterial small subunit ribosomal RNA", at positions 29 to 507 of the family's 1533-position model. The record is from RNAcentral.